GAAGGUGGCUCAGUGGUAGAGUGCUUGCUUUACAUGCAUGCAGUCUUGGGUUCGAUUCCUCAGCACCUCCU
RNAcentral lists this transfer RNA (71 nucleotides) under Dipodomys ordii (Ord's kangaroo rat). It matches the Rfam family "tRNA". From Rfam's summary of the family: Transfer RNA (tRNA) molecules are approximately 80 nucleotides in length. Their secondary structure includes four short double-helical elements and three loops (D, anti-codon, and T loops). Further hydrogen bonds mediate the characteristic L-shaped molecular structure. tRNAs have two regions of fundamental functional importance: the anti-codon, which is responsible for specific mRNA codon recognition, and the 3' end, to which the tRNAs corresponding amino acid is attached (by aminoacyl-tRNA synthetases). tRNAs cope with the degeneracy of the genetic code in two manners: having more than one tRNA (with a specific anti-codon) for a particular amino acid; and 'wobble' base-pairing, i.e. permitting non-standard base-pairing at the 3rd anti-codon position. Lineage: Eukaryota; Metazoa; Chordata; Mammalia; Rodentia; Heteromyidae. The record is from Rfam by way of RNAcentral.